UACGAGGGGGGCAAGCGUUGUUCGGAAUUACUGGGCGUAAAGGGCUCGUAGGCGGCCAACUAAGUCAGACGUGAAAUCCCUCGGCUUAACCGGGGAACUGCGUCUGAUACUGGAUGGCUUGAAUCCGGGAGAGGGAUGCGGAAUUCCAGGUGUAGCGGUGAAAUGCGUAGAUAUCUGGAGGAACACCGGUGGCGAAGGCGGCAUCCUGGACCAACACUGACGCUGAGGAGCGAAAGCCAGGGGAGCAAACGGG
This 253-nucleotide ribosomal RNA is filed under the name uncultured bacterium. RNAcentral's name for it is "partial 16S ribosomal RNA". It matches the Rfam family "Bacterial small subunit ribosomal RNA", at positions 524 to 776 of the family's 1533-position model. The record is from RNAcentral.